CUGCUUUUAGGAACGAGAGUAUACAGCCCUCCAGAGUGGAUCAGAUACCACAGAUACCAUGGGAGGUCAGCAACAGUGUGGUCUCUGGGAGUUCUGCUGUACGAUAUGGUUUGCGGAGACAUCCCUUUUGAGCAAGAUGAAGAAAUCUUGAGGGGACGAUUAUACUUCAGGAGAAGAAUUUCACCUGAAUGUCAACAGCUGAUCAAAUGGUGCCUUUCACUGAGGCCUUCAGACAGACCAACACUUGAGCAAAUUUUUGACCAUCAAUGGAUGCACAAAUCUGAAGUAGUGAAGUCUGAGGACUGUGACAUAAGGCUACGGACCCUUGAUACUGAUGUAUCUAGCACAAGUUCAAGUAAUGAGAGUCUGUGAAUUACUAAGGACCUCGCACUGGGAGGGGAGCUACAAGCAGAAAGACCACAGUGCUGCUGCCAAUACGUAGGAGGGGCUAGAAAAAUGCAUUCAUUAUUCUGUAGUUGAAUCUUUGUCUGAGGGACUUGAUUUUAUUUUCCCCCUUUGCUGGUUUCUGCUUUGGAAUGAGAGAUUUCCUUUGGAAACGCUGAUGUUUGGGAGUUGCAGGCCAGUACUUAGUCACAGACUGACCUUAUUAAGAAAGCAGUGACCUCUUGAAUACAUGGUAAACUUUUUUGCUCUCAUAGAGCCUGGACUAGAUUUUAUUUGCUUUUGAGUGCCUUUUUGAAAGCUGCUUCAGUGGGACUUUCUUUUUUGAGCUGUGUAUGUCCAAAGAAGAUCCAGUUCAUUAUAGGAAUUUGCUCCCUUUAGACUCAGUGCUGGAGGAAGCAGCUCCUAUGAUGCAUUGGAGAACAUGUUCGGUGAUUGAAUGAAGUAGUCCCAUCCACUGGUGAUGGAAUACUUGAACACAGACAUUUCACUCCUGCCCCCUGGCCCUUUCCAAAUCCAACCCACCUCUGCUGCUCAAAAUAAUUCCUAUAGCCUGCACAGAAAUAUGAACAGGUAUAUCAGCUUUUUUAUCAGAAACAUUUAUUCAUGUUUCCUUUUAUCAUCUCUACCAUUGGGCAUGAGAAGCCCCUUUCUCAACUCCCCCCGGCCUUUUGUCACCCUGCGAGUCUUAAAGUAUGUAUGGGCAUGUUGAAUGCACAAUCAAUGCAAUAUUCAAGGACUUUACUUUUUUUUUCCAUACCUGUAUAAUGUGUUUAUGUAAACUCGGUUUUUCCCAUGUACUAUACAGUUAUUUAUUGUUUGAAGUUUAGAAGACCUCCCACAGGUUUCAGCUGUGGCUAUUUAUUUGGUUAAUUUAUUUGGUUAGAGUUAUUCAACACUGUGCUUUCCCCUCCUUCUCCCCAUGGGAAUUCUAGUGGUUUGCCCAUGGCACUUUUUUUCUGCAUUCCUGUCAACUUUUGUUUAAAAAAAGAAA
Molecule: long non-coding RNA, 1396 nt
Organism: Haliaeetus leucocephalus (bald eagle)
Lineage: Eukaryota; Metazoa; Chordata; Aves; Accipitriformes; Accipitridae
Exons: 2
Source: RefSeq, a predicted model, not a curated record